This 2043-nucleotide long non-coding RNA is filed under the name Citrus sinensis (sweet orange). RNAcentral describes it as "long non-coding RNA (CSIN_LNC000117)". The record is from RNAcentral. Lineage: Eukaryota; Viridiplantae; Streptophyta; Magnoliopsida; Sapindales; Rutaceae.
CAGCAUCAACAGACAAUAUAUUCACAGUGAUGCUAGCCUCAUUACUUUUGAUACACAGGUUAAAAGUUCUCUUCAUCUGUCUAUCCCUCUGUAAAGAGACAAGAUCUUAUUAAUGGAAUGAGGGAGGAAAUGUCUAAGAAUUCGACCCACUGAUUCUAGCAAUAGGGUGCAGUUGGAAGAAUUUCUCCUGGACAAAGAACAAAUAUUACUUUCAAGUUUCAAUAUAUGAGAAAAAAACUAGUUAGGAACUAACAGUUAUUUUUAAUAUUCCACAACUCUUAAUUGUUUACCAAUCUUUACAAAACGCAACUGAAACUCAACCAACGCAAGAAAUGAGUGACUCAAAAUUUAUUGCACAGAAAAACGGUGAUCUAUACGAAUAUGCAGCCAUGAUAAUAAAGACGAUGUACAUUCAUGAAAAUGGUCAUUAAAAUACACCACCUGAGGAAUCUUCUUAUCCAUGUGUGUUAGUUAAUCUACCAAAUACACCAAUAGUUCAAAGGCAAAAAUGUAGACCACUAUCACUUCAAACAGAAAUGGGAACCUGGGAGGAACAAGGGGUGAGAAGAAAAGGGAAAUUAGCCGCACUUCAUAAUUCAGUCUUGAAAAUAAGAGGAUUUUGAAGGCUUUUACACUAAUCUCUCAGAAAACGUACUUAAUGUUUGCAUGAAGCAUAACUUGAGUCUGAAAAGGACAGUCUGACAUCAAUAAAAUUUAUCUGUUUCUAGUGUGAUCUAAACAGCCUCCAAGCUGACAAUCUGAUAACAUGAAGCAUAAUGAAUUCCCCAGGAUAUGCCAUGUAUAACAUGAACGUUUGAAAAACUGGAAAAUCAUGAUUGUGCAAGAUUUUAGAAAAUUGUACAUCAUUUUACAAAUCGAGGCCUGCUACAAUGACUCCCCACAAGUCCUGCUAUCAAUCCUAGUCCACAAUACUAAUUUUAUAUCCAGAAAGAAGCAACUUUGUACAAAAGUAGCAAAUAUUCAUUUGACUAGGAAUGAAACAUUUCAAUUAACUUCUGGCUUCUGCCUUCAUUACAUUUUAUUUCUAGAUUUUACGAUUUCUUUCUCAUCUUUGUGAAAAGAGAUUAAAAAGUUUACUAGCACUAAUUCUAUUCGUUGCUCACUUCACACGCUCAUGUAGUCCUUUAUCAGUGACGGCCAUAUGGAAAAUAGCAUUACAAAUAUAUUUCCCAUAACCUUCAGAAUGAACAGGAUGGCGACCAUACUAAUUAAUUUCAAAUUUGCAAAAAGCCGAACAUGGCUUGCAAUAUUCCAAAGUUCUCUUUGAAUCCACCUACUCUUUAAGUGGAAUCCAAGCACUAUCUUAGACAACAAUAUAUUUUUAAAGCAUUAACCUCAUCAAUCACAGCUAGCUCUACUGAAGAAUCAGUCAUUCAGUAGGUACCUAAAGAUUCAUUUUAUAUUUUUAUUCUUUUAGUAAGACAUCUAAAGUAACCAUCACGUAUGGCCCUAGAUGAUUGUCUCCAACAAUAAUAACAGUUAAUUAUGAAUAAAUAAUUUACCUUGAGAACCAUCAGCACUCUUUAACUAAAGACUCGCAAUCUGCUGCCAAUAGCUUGGGCCUCUCCUCUUUCCCUUAACUCUAAAGGCAUCUUGAAAACACCCUGUAUGAGUAAGGUGAACUCCAGCCUGUUUUACAAACAUUAAAAAGGAUAGAGAAACAUAUAAGCAACUUCAAAAUGCAAUACCGAAUCCAGUUGGAAAUGAGUCUUCGAGAGAAUGUAACUCGAGACUGCCACCAUUAAAAGCUGUGAUAAUUUUACGCCCAAUUAAACCCGUAUUCCCAAUACUAAGAGCAGCAAGCAUGAGGAGUGUAGAAUAAUACAUUGAAAACGGAAAAAAAAAAAAAGGUUAAAACCUAAAUAUUAACAAAGAUUAAGCAAAAUAUUUUUUAAGAACUUGAAAAAACAGACCUUAGGAAGCGAUGCGUCCUCCUUUGACUGUCCAACAAGAUCCAUCAGCUUCAUCUUUAGCCUUUAAUUUUAAUAAGACUAAUAAUGAAAUUGUGAAAAUAGAGGCACA